This 536-nucleotide ribosomal RNA is filed under the name Pseudeurybata stigmatica. Its description in RNAcentral is "partial 16S ribosomal RNA". The stretch from base 280 to 439 matches the Rfam family "Bacterial large subunit ribosomal RNA", at positions 2473 to 2632 of the family's 2925-position model. Lineage: Eukaryota; Metazoa; Arthropoda; Insecta; Diptera; Micropezidae. The record is from RNAcentral.
UGCUGGAAUGAAUGGUUGGACGAGAUAUAAACUGUUUCGAUUUUAUUUAUAAUAGAAUUUUAUUUUUUAGUAAAAAAGCUAAAAUUUUUUUAAAAGACGAGAAGACCCUAUAAAUCUUUAUAAUUAUUUUAUGUUUAUUUUAAGGAUGUAUUUUGUAUUUAUGAUUUUAAUUAUUUUAUUGGGGUGAUAUUAAAAUUUAUUUAACUUUUAAUUUUUUUUUACAUUAAUUAAUGGUUUACUGAUCCGUUAUUUGCGAUUAUAAGAUUAAGUUACUUUAGGGAUAACAGCGUGAUUUUUUUGGAGAGUUCUUAUCGAUAAAAAAGAUUGCGACCUCGAUGUUGGAUUAAGAGAUAGGUUUGGGUGCAGUCAUUCAAAUUUUAAGUCUGUUCGACUUUUAAAUUCUUACAUGAUCUGAGUUCAAACCGGCGUGAGCCAGGUUGGUUUCUAUCUUUAAUGGGGUAAAAUAUUUUAGUACGAAAGGAUUGAAUAUUUGAAUUAAUUAUUUUGUUAUUUGAAUAUUAUUAAUUUACUAUUUU